RNAcentral lists this ribosomal RNA (470 nucleotides) under uncultured organism. RNAcentral describes it as "partial 16S ribosomal RNA". It matches the Rfam family "Bacterial small subunit ribosomal RNA", at positions 334 to 800 of the family's 1533-position model. The record is from RNAcentral.
CACUCCUGCGGGAGGCAGCAGUGAGGAAUAUUGGACAAUGGGUGGAAGCCUGAUCCAGCCAUCCCGCGUGCAGGAAGACGGCCCUAUGGGUUGUAAACUGCUUUUAUCUGGGGAUAAACCUACUUACGUGUAAGUAGCUGAAGGUACCAGAAGAAUAAGCACCGGCUAACUCCGUGCCAGCAGCCGCGGUAAUACGGAGGGUGCAAGCGUUAUCCGGAUUUAUUGGGUUUAAAGGGUCCGUAGGCGGACUGAUAAGUCAGUGGUGAAAUCCGACAGCUUAACUGUCGAACUGCCAUUGAUACUGGUAGUCUUGAGUAAGGUUGAAGUGGCUGGAAUAAGUAGUGUAGCGGUGAAAUGCAUAGAUAUUACUUAGAACACCAAUUGCGAAGGCAGGUCACUAAGUCUUAACUGACGCUGAUGGACGAAAGCGUGGGGAGCGAACAGGAUUAGAAACCCCUGUAGUCCCAUGA